UGACGGUGCUAGCAUAACCAUUGGCUAUAGAUUCCUACUACUGGGAGACAAUAUUCACUGAAUUUUAAAUAACAAAAGUUAAGAUGUUUUUACAUCUUACUGUGAAAAUGUAACAUUAAAAGGAAACAAAGAAAUCUCUGCAUGACCAGACCAAUUUGUCUAGGGAGAAAUCAUGCUAAGCAAGUCACAAAAAAGAAUACGCGCAAAUAACGUCCAAUAGAAAACGAUGAUGCAUGUCCUAUUUUGCCGAGAACAUCCGGGCUAGCUAGAUGUAUGUUCGGAACGCCAUUUCCAUGUUCUUCGGCGUUGUUGUUGUCUUGAUUAUUUUGGAGCUUAUCGUUUAGCUCCAUUUUUCGGAAUGCAUUUUGGGACACAGAAGAUUUGCAGCUUACAUUGCUGCUGUUUGGAGUACUUAGUAUUUUUGAGCAUUUUUGAUGAUUGGAAAAACAAAAACUGAGUCUCAAGUGCAAAAUGACUCGAAACUCUUGUUUUGGUGUUGUUUAUGUGACCAUCAUUCUUCAUCAAAGCUUGGCAGUGUUUCCUAAAGAAGAUUUGUCAUCAGCUGCCAGAACAGCAGAAAAUGACUUCAUAGGCACACAGCGAUGCGAGCGCUAUGACAAGAGCUGUAACCCUGAAACAACAAACUGCGAAGUGGAAGAGUGUGAUCCUCCUUCCAGUACAUAUCUAAAUUUGUGUUAUGCAUCAUGGUCAAACACCUCAGAUGGUGUGCAAAUUCUUCGCAAAGGGUGUUGGAUGGGGGCUCCAGAAUGCCAUGGAAAGCGUCAGUGUAUUCAACGAGACACUGACCCUGUGCGAUUUGUUUACUUCUGCUGUUGUGAGGGGGAUUUCUGCAAUAGGAAUAUUACUUUCCGUAGUGAUGUCGGUAGCUCUGUUGACAAAAGUAGUACCUCAUUGCCUCCUGUUGUCAGAAAGGGAGAUGGCUCUCAGCUAGUCAAGGCUGUGUUAUACUCAAUUGUUCCCAUUAUUGGAGGUGCUGUGAUCAUAGUUGCAGUCUUUUUCAUGUGGAAACGUCAUCAGCGUCAUUUAUACUUGGGACAUCAGCAGCUGCCAACUAUAGAGCCAGGUUUUGUCUCAACACCAUCAGAAACAUCACUUAAUUUGGAGAAAGUGGAGCUUAUUGAGCUACGAGCACGAGGCAGGUUUGGAUCCGUGUGGAAAGCCCAGCUGCUGAAUGAAUUAGUGGCUGUCAAGAUAUUUCCACUGCAGGACAAACAGUCAUGGUUGACUGAACAGGAAAUAUACAACUUGCCACAAAUGAACCACGAGAAUGUCCUCAAAUUUAUUGCAAGCGAGAAACGAGGGGAAAAUCUGCACAUUGAACUGUGGCUGCUGACAGAAUUUCAUGAACAUGGAUCAUUAUAUGACUAUCUCAAGGGCCAUGUUCUUACAUGGUCACAGCUGUGCAAGAUUGGAGAGAGCAUGGCACUUGGACUUGCAUUUUUGCAUGAUGAGAUUCCAGCAACUGCAGUGCAUGGUUCUAAACCAGCAGUGGCUCAUCGUGAUUUCAAGUCCAAAAAUGUACUGCUGAAAUCAGAUCUAACAGCUUGCAUUGCAGAUUUUGGUCUUGCUCUGAAAUUUGAACCUGGCAAAGGGCCAGGAGAAACUCAUGGCCUUGUUGGCACACGACGCUAUAUGGCUCCUGAAGUCUUGGAAGGGGCCAUCUGUUUCAACCGUGAUGCUUUUCUGCGUAUUGAUAUGUAUGCCUGUGGUCUAGUCCUGUGGGAACUGCUUAGUCGAUGCAAUGCUGCAGAAGGACCUGUGGAGGAAUAUCAGCUUCCUUUCGAGAAUAUUCCAGAGAUAGGCCAGCACCCAACACUUGAAUCCAUGCAGGAAUAUGUAGUGAGCCGAAAAAUGCGUCCACCCAUGCAUGAGCAUUGGAAACGACAUCCUGGCAUUAUGAGCCUGGUGUGUACUGUUGAAGAAUGUUGGGAUCAAGAUGCUGAAGCACGGUUGUCGGCAGGCUGUGUUCAGGAACGAAUUGCUGCUUUUGCUCGCACAUUCAACAUGGUUACUGCAGCAAGUGGAGUGAUGCUUCCUACCUCCCAAUACCCGCCAACUUUGCCUCCAGCUUUGCAGUCGUCAGGACUAACUAUGGGGCAGACUCCACCAAGCUCUAGUGACUCUGUGAUUUCAUUCUCGUCAUCUUCAGACAUACCUCCAAAGGAUUUGGGCAGUUGUUGACUGCCUAGAAAGGAGAGGUGACAAGCUUGUUGAAGAGCACCAUCACUACAGAAAUUCAAUGCCAAAAGUAUCAGGCAGCUUACGGACAGUGCCUUUUUGUUGCUGUAGUUUUGGUUUCAACUUCAGAGGGAUCUUGGCCAUUUGCCAGUGAGGGCAGAGUUAGGAGGGUCACUACUUGCUGUUAGCAUAUCAAGUGAGUCAUUGGCAUGGCAGUGGUAGUUUUAUAGUAAUACAGAGUUCCCAGAUUUUAUUAAGUAUAAGUGGAUCCUCUGCCUUUAGCAUAUCAGAUUAUUUUAGGUUGUGUGGGAGUUGUUUUUUUUUGGCAUAUUCUUUGAAGUUUUGUGUAAAGGGCAAUGGGUGACUAGUUAAAGCCUCUUGUAUGCCAAAACAUGCAAAAGUUCAUUUCUUUUUAACACAGAUGUUAAUCUGUUUACAUAGACACAAUAGCAUGCAGCAAAAUGGCAUAAAAAGUACAGGAAGAAGCACCAUACAACCGGGCUGUAUUAUUAGAAUAAAUAAUAUUGAGUUUGUAACAGCAGUGAGUGAGAGUUUAUUAUUUCAAUGCACAAGCUGCAGCAUUAUGUUGCCUCCACUCAGGGCAGAGAUGUAACAUCUCUUAGUGCACGAAGCUGAAUGUAAUUAUUAAAUUGUUUUAGGUAUAUAUAAAAUAUUAUGACAGCUAGAUAGGACAAAAGAUUCAUUUUGAUUGACUGUACAAUUCUGAUGGUAGUGUGACAGCUGUCAUAUUGAAAGAGAAAUCUUAAUGCGACUUAAGAAUCAGAGUAUUGUCUGGUGUUUAUGGUGAUGAGAAAUGUGUAAUUCCACUCCCCACUUUUAUUUCUGGUUUCUAAAGACUUUGUGUGUGUGUGUGUGUGUAAAAAUGCAUCUGUUGCACACACUUGCAAUAACCACCCCAUUGGAUGAUACUUUGUUGUAUUGAGGCUUUAGAUGUACAUUGCUGUGUAAUUUAAACUUAGGAGUCACUCAUUUAUUGUAGGUUUUCUUGAGAUUUCUCCUUUCCUGCACCAUCCACCUGUUGGAACAACUAUUUUCCCUUCUUCCCUCUUUAAGACACAUACAUACCUCAUGACUGCAAGUGCUGAAGUUUGUUCAUGUAUGGUAGGAAUCUAUGUUUAUUAACAACAUCGCCUUCCAACUCCAUUUGAGCUGUUUACAUUAGAAUACCUUGUUGCAUAUGUCAUACAAUAUUGUACACACCAAAGGCCUCUACACAUGGUUAACAACUGUUUAUGUUAUAAAAUGUAGAUCCAUGAUUACAUUAAUGAAAACCUAGCCUGCAUAGAGUUUAAUAUUUUAUACAUUUGAAAGGUAAAGAGUCUCAAGUUUUACAGAUUUAGAAGUUAAUUCAAAUUCAGAUUCCUAGCCAAAAUACCUUGGUGAUAAAUUACUACCUUGUAUACAAGAUAUAGAAGGCAUUGGAUUACUUCUCAUCACUUUAAUAUCCUGAAAAGCAUAGACAUUUUUCAUCAUAGGCUCUAAAACCUCCUCAGUGCUAAUUUUUACCCCCACCUUUUGCAUUAUUAUCUUUGAAACUGUAUCUACUGAAAGAAAGGGUGAAGACACCACCAGCUUCGGUUGCACAAGAAAUUGAAGACUUGCUCUUUAAAACCUAGUAAUAGUAUUUACAUAAUGCCUAAUUGAAAAAGAAAUGAAGUAAUACUGGGUGUUUCAAGACUUAUUUGUGGAUUGACAUGGUUGUCCAGCUGUCCUGUGAAAAUCAAGAUUGAACAGCCUGUUUAUGCCAAGACUUUACAGGGUUAAGUCUUAAAAAAAUAAAUAUUCUUGACAUCUUGAGAGAUCAGGUAUUCAUCCUGGAGCCUGAAUCCAAAAAUCAUAAUGGUCGCACUUGACUAGUUAAAGCAACACUUGUUAAAAACCUUUCAAAUUUUGCCAUUCUCCUCUUGCCUAUCCCAGAUGAUAAUUGAAUGUGACAAGGCUGAUUUAUGUUGUUCAUGUAAUAGUAUAUGUCAAACCUGCAUUGGGUUAAUGCUGUGUUUGACCUCAUGCCCAUUGAGAAGUUUUCAGGUUCCACAGAUUGAAAGCUGUUAAGUGCUCGAACCUUUUUGAAUGUCCUGCCUGUAAUUGGAUUGACCUUUAAAUUUUUGCUGAUGACAGUGCUGAGGCUGCAUGUCCCAUAUCUGUAUGCAAUCAGCAUGGAAUCAUUUUUAAUUGCAUCACGAAAGAGAAUUGUGCAUGUUGCACAUUCACUGGUCCCAUUCCCCUGUUUAAAUGUUGUGUAGGGGAAGGGGCUUGAGGGGUAAACAGUACUGUUAAUGCGAUGUAAAGAUAUACGAGAACUACUUAUGAUUGGAAUGUCUGAGUGACUUCUGUAAUGGCUAAUCUUUUAGUCUUGUCUUUUUUCUUUCCUUUAUUUCUUUUUGAUUUUCUUUUUGGGGGAAAGGAUUAGCCAGGUUGGAUGAGUUAGGGUAUUUGGUUCUUUUUUUAUUUUUUUUUUUAUUUUGGUACAUAAAUCGUGAGUGCUUUGUGUAAAAUUAUAUCUAAAAGGCAGGGACAAUAGCAAUGUAAUUUGAACUCAGGUGUUUUAUUGUAUUUUGAGAAGCAAAGAAAUGUCAAGCUUAUAAUGCACUUUUAUUUAUUUUACUGUUUUCUAUAGGAAUGAGUUGUGGCAAAAGUCAGUCUGCUGUGUGAUUACUGUUUGCCUUCAAUUUAAAAAAAAAAAAAAUGAAACUGAUAAUCUUAGUGAAUAAAAUGGGAUUUUUGUUUAUGGAUCCACCCACCAGUCCUGUGGCUUUUGUAGUAUAAUGGUUGCUCAGUGUCUUUACACAGCUUAAAACAUUGUAAUUUGGUGGGUAACGACUACACCAGAAUUGGAUUAUUUCUGGCAGUCUAAGGCAGAAGAUGAGACAUCUCUCUUCUCUCCCAGUGUUUCACUUCUGUUAUGCAGAUUGUAAUUUCUUAACUCUUAAAGACAGCAUUUUGAUCAGCAAAAGCAGCUACAUGGUCAAGUUUCUCAUAAAGUUAUAACUUUACUGUUGAUUUGUUUGAAUUUAAACGUGUUUCUAUGCAGACAUUGUUACCUCGAAUCAUUGUGACACAUGUACAUCCCAAUGGGGUGGUUUUUUUUUGUUCUUAUCUUUUUACUUCUUUGGAUCUGCCUCCCUUUCUUUAUCUUUUGCAGUCAAUUGUUUCUCCCUCCUGCUACUGCCUAGCUGAAUCUUGUUGAAGUACGGGUCUCAAAAUUUCAUCAUUAACUAUUACACAUAAAAAACUAGUCUUUCUUCCUCUGUUUUGAAUUCUUCCCCCACUUCCUCUUUUUCUUAUUCUCUCACACACAUUUUCACGCAUUUGGUUAACUUACUGAUAAUUGGAGAACUUAUGUAUGUCUGCAUCUCUUAUAGCAAUUUGUUAGGGUUUUUUUAAAUUUUGGGUUGGAUAUACUGCUGAAAUCCCAUGUUAGAUAAAUUCCUUGGAUUCUUUGUCUGCUUAGCAUUCUUUUUACAGAAAAUUGUCAGAUGAAGGGGUGGAUAAAAUGUAAUGAUUGGGAAAAAACAAGUUUAGAUAUCAUUACUAGAUCAGAAGAUGCAAUAUUGAUCAGUUUUUGUGUUUUAGUUGUUUUGCUACAUAUGCCAUCUAAAAUUAUUGUUUCAAGUUGAUGUAAUUGUUCCUGAGUCAUAAAAUGUAGUGUCAUAUACAAAUCAUUAAUGGUAUGAUUUUCAGAUGUGGGAGGGGGGUGAGAGGGGGAGAAUAUACUGGUUGGGAGGAAAAUAAAGUAGGAGUGAACUUUUUGAAAGAGUUUUUACAUGCUGUUUGUUUUCUCCCUCCUUCCCCAAUUCCUCAGGAAAUUUUUAAACAAGAAAGUACACCAUGAGAAAGAUUGUAUUUGCCUGCUGCAAACAUUUUGUAACAAAAAGAGUAGUUCCAGAAAGUGAAUAUUGUCUAAAAUGUGCUUGUUCAGAUUUAUCUAGUGAUAGAAAGUGAAUUGUUAAGUAAAUUGUAAUGCUUGCAGACCUGGAACUCUUUAGAUUAAUGUUUUGUUUUCAGUGAAAAGAUGCCUCAAGCAAAUAACACUGCAGCAAAUAAUAACAGUGAAGUUGAAAAUAUGUUUGUAAUGUUUGACAGUGUAGUGGCAUUUCCAAUGACCAUGGAUUUUCUGUAGUGGCUGAUGUGGUAAGGAGCAACUUAAGUUUCUGGCCAUCUUGGCUUCAUUGCACCAGAGGUUAUGUCUUGAGUUUGUCCAUGGUUUCAUAUAGUGUUACUUAGCUACCACUGUCAUUGGUGGUUAGCAGGGAAGGUAAUGUUUGCUAGUUACUUCGCUUGUUUUGCAGUUGUGGUGCGUUCAGUUUUGAGAAGUUGUAGUGGUGCAAGUUGUUUUUACUUUUAAAGUACAUGCAGUACUGGGUAUGGUCUCUUGCACUUCACAAUUGUACAUCGCACAUUUGGUCACUAAUGAAGUAGUCACUCUCCCCAGUAGCAUUUUCUGGCGUAUGACAAAUUAUUGUGUACAAUCGCUACUCUUGGUUUGGUGAGGUCAUAUUUACGCAUUUUUGUGAACAUAUACAUCUUUUGUUUGACUGUAAAAUGUCACCAUUAUUUAAAAAUAGUUACUAGGAAGUUGAUGCUAAAACAAGUGUAAGGUUUUGUGCCUUUCACUUAGAGGAGUAUGAAGCAGUUAUUUUAGUUACUAUACAUGUAUACAUAUUUUGUCUUUUUGUUUUGCUUCAUAUCCAAUAUGUGUGGAGGACUCUGCAUACUGUACUUGGUUUGUGAAUAAGGACAGUUUCUGUGUUGUGUUCCUUACAAAAAAAUACACAGCUAUGUGACUGUGAGGUUACUGUGGAACAUUAGGAAGCAGGUGUCUUCCCAAGCUAUAUCAGCAGAUUUGUGUGGAUUUAAAAAAAAUUCUGUAAUUACUUUAAGGUGAUGUGCUUGAUUUUUGUAUAUUCCCUUUGAUAUGUGUUUUUUGAGCCAUCAGAUUUGCAUAGGAGAGAAAGAGAGAGAGCAUGGACGAACCAGCACCAUGGGAGAUUUCUAUUUUUGAUACAACAUUUGCUGCUGGUUUGUCAGCAUCUGUAGCUCUCUUUCUCUCCUUUUCAUUUGCUAAGUCUGCGGGUUUUGUUUUGGAUGUCUGUGCAAAAUCGUCACAUCUCCCCUUUUAAUAGGGGUUUUUGUGUAGCCCUAUAGUGCUACUUCAGGGAUGGCUACUGUUAAAUGUUUACUAAAGUUCACAUUUUCUCACCCACCCACCCCCAAACACACACACACACCCCAAUGUCUGGUUUAGUUCACUGCAAGACACUUAUUCCUAAGUCUGAGCAAAAGACUUGUGUUCUGUGCAUGAAACUGGCAUAUACGCAUCAAGAUGUGCAGUAAAAGAUGUUGGUAUUAUGUUGGUUUAGUGCCAGUAAUUAUUGAUAUGCUUCCAGCUUCGCUAUUGGCAUUGGCCUUGGUGAUGUUGGUGCAGUUAUAUACUUAAUCUUGCUUUAGUGGUACUUCCUGCACCCAUGAGAUCUUCCUUUCUGUCAGUUGAUGAUAUGUUUGUUGAUGACUGUGUUUUUUCUUUCCCUAUCUUCAAUAGAUUUCUUUUGCUAUUGAAUUGGCAGUGAAUGGUACUUCUGCCAAAUUCUGUACUUUUCUAGAUCUGUUUUUAAAUAUAGCAGAUGGAUUUUGUUUUUAAGUUUGGCCACAUUAUCAUUAAGAUUUAUUUUAGGUUUCAAGGUUUUGCUAUAUAUUUUCUGUCUUCCAGCAUUUACUUUUGCAGCUUACAACUGAAAGGAUGCUGCUUCUGUAUAUCCUAGUUUCGAAUUCAUUCUUGGAAGUUUUUAUUUUCAGGUAUCGCUAAGUUACCUCUUUACUGUCAACUUAGUUGUAUUUGUUAGCUUUUCUAUUUUGCCUUAUUAAAAUCAUGUCUUAAAGUCUGUCAGUAGUAACAAUACAUGCUUGCUCAAGAUUAGUUGUGGUGAUGUCAAAUGUUGCUAGCUGUUAGCUUGUUGCCACAUACAACUUUGCAGUGAACAUCUGUGUACACAUUGCUCAGGUGCUCUUGUUGCAUUUGUCUCUGUGUGUACAGUGUUGUGACCUCUGUGCAGGCAGGUUUGUGGAUUUUGAAGGCCUUUAUCUCUGAACAGAAUUGAGCUGGUUGCUCAAACUUGGGAUACUAUCAAUAGCUGUAAUGAGCUUAAACCAGACAUUUCAAACAACAAGUUUGCACUCUGCUAAGUCUUUAAAAAAAAAAAAAAAAAAUUCAAGAAAAUGUAAAAUCUAUCUGGGAUUGAGGGAAUGGCUGUUAAAUGCUCUGCCACUCCACAUCCCAGUCAGGCAUUUAGUUAUCUCUGUAUACACAUCAUCACACGUGUUGUCAAUAAUCAUUCUGUAAUGUGGCAUGUAUCAAUUAGUUGAUUUGAUCUUUUUUCCUCUGGUCUUCUGUGUUUAACCGACAUGUUCCAGGGAAGUGGAUGAGAGAAAAUAGGAGAACCAUCAAAGAAGACGAGAACAUUUCUUUGUCGGCAACUUCUGCAUAUUUAAACAUUGAAGAGGCCAGUCUGCAGAUGAGAAAUGGGCAUUUUCUUUUUCUCCUGUUUAGAAGUUUGGGUAUCAGAAGCCAGUAAAUUUCAUGUCUCAGAGUGAAAUGUCAAUAUGAGCUGCAGGGAAAGUAAUUUGAAAAUGUCUUCAUGUAUAAAAAAAAAAAUGUAAACACACGCAGUAUGUUGUGCCUCAAAACCAUUUAUUCAUUAUCAUUUAAACUUUUGGUCUCUGCUGUGUUGUUUUUGUUUUUGUUUUUUUUUUGUUUUGUAAUUAUUUUCUAAACCUCAGAUUUAAUUAUCAUUGCAAUUGUUUUUGAGGCCAAUGUUUUUACGGGUCAUUUAACUUGCAGACAUGCAUUGCAUCUUGCUGAGAAGCCUUUUAUGAGCCAUGGUGGCAACAUGAGGCAAUGCACAGCAUCAUUUGAGAGUUACAUCGUAGUAAUAUAUUACAAACCUCUUUCAUCAAGGCUGUAAAUAGAAUUGUGUAUGUAUAGUUACUGUUCAUAGAGUGGUCAGUUCAAUAAACUUUUUUUUUAAUCUUAGAUGAGGUUAUUGAUGAUGGACUGCAGGUGUGGAUGGGUGUGCAUGCAUUGAGUGAAGCAGAGUUCUGUCAGCAUGUCCAGGGACUGGCAUUACAGACUUAAAGAGCACAAAAUGAAUGUCAACAGCAUAACUUUGACAUUGCGAUCUUCAGAGACCUAUGAUGAACCACCACAUAUUAAACACAUUACAAACCUCAGAGAUUUGAAUGGACAACAUAUGUGGACUGUCCUUGCAUUGUUGUUGGUUCUACAUUGAUUUUGGCGACCUUUGCUGGAUUUUUUAGAUCUGUGCUUUGUGAUGACCAACAAUUAGCUAAAUUGUGGUGCCCUCUAGCCAGCAGUGGAACUUUUUAACUGUGCAGUUGUUUGCUCGCUUUAGGAGUUCACUGUCGUCAACUGCCCAGUAAUAAGCUGUGGCAAACGUUUUAUUUUCUAUUAUUUCUUUAUUUGGUUUGUUGGACCUGUGUCCUGUUGUGCUGUGGUAUCUCAUCACUUGGUCAUUAAAAUAUCAAGGAAGCUACA
RNAcentral lists this unclassified non-coding RNA (9769 nucleotides) under Pomacea canaliculata. RNAcentral describes it as "activin receptor type-2B-like, transcript variant X1". The record is from RNAcentral. Lineage: Eukaryota; Metazoa; Mollusca; Gastropoda; Architaenioglossa; Ampullariidae.